AGUGGCGGACGGGUGAGUAACGCGUGAGAAUCUGCCCUUUGGAUGGGGAUAACGACUGGAAACGGUCGCUAAUACCCAAUAUGCCGAGAGGUGAAACUUAUAUGGCCAGAGGAUGAGCUCGCGUCUGAUUAGCUAGUUGGAGUGGUAACGGCACACCAAGGCGACGAUCAGUAGCUGGUCUGAGAGGAUGAUCAGCCACACUGGGACUGAGACACGGCCCAGACUCCUACGGGAGGCAGCAGUGGGGAAUUUUCCGCAAUGGGCGAAAGCCUGACGGAGCAAGACCGCGUGAGGGAGGAAGGCCUACUGGUUGUAAACCUCUUUUGAUAGGGAAGAAGAAAGUGGCGGUACCUAUCGAAUCAGCAUCGGCUAACUCCGUGCCAGCAGCCGCGGUAAUACGGAGGAUGCAAGCGUUAUCCGGAAUUAUUGGGCGUAAAGCGUCCGUAGGUGGUUAUUCAAGUCAGCUGUCAAAGGAUGGAGCUUAACUCCAUAAAGGCAGUUGAAACUGUGUAGCUAGAGUGCGAUAGGGGCAAGGGGAAUUCCCAGUGUAGCGGUGAAAUGCGUAGAUAUUGGGAAGAACAUCGGUGGCGAAAGCGCCUUGCUGGGUCUGCACUGACACUGAGGGACGAAAGCUAGGGGAGCGAAAGGGAUUAGAUACCCCUGUAGUCUUAGCUGUAAACGAUGGAUACUAGGCGUUG
Molecule: ribosomal RNA, 698 nt
Filed under: uncultured Oscillatoriales cyanobacterium
Lineage: Bacteria; Bacillati; Cyanobacteriota; Cyanophyceae; Oscillatoriales
Description: bacterial SSU rRNA
Rfam family: Bacterial small subunit ribosomal RNA
Source: RNAcentral